GGGGGGGUUCCCGAGUGGUCAAAGGGGGCAGACUGUAAAUCUGUUGGCUGACGCCUUCGAAGGUUCGAAUCCUUCCCCCCCCACCA
Molecule: transfer RNA, 86 nt
Filed under: Candidatus Fermentibacterota bacterium
Lineage: Bacteria; Pseudomonadati; Candidatus Fermentibacterota
Description: tRNA-Tyr
Rfam family: tRNA
About the family: Transfer RNA (tRNA) molecules are approximately 80 nucleotides in length. Their secondary structure includes four short double-helical elements and three loops (D, anti-codon, and T loops).
Source: RNAcentral